RNAcentral lists this ribosomal RNA (240 nucleotides) under uncultured bacterium. Its description in RNAcentral is "partial 16S ribosomal RNA". It matches the Rfam family "Bacterial small subunit ribosomal RNA", at positions 524 to 764 of the family's 1533-position model. The record is from RNAcentral.
UACGAACUGUGCGAACGUUAUUCGGAAUCACUGGGCUUACAGGGUGCGUAGGCGGCCUUCCAAGUCAGGUGUGAAAUCCCCCAGCUCAACUGGGGAACAGCGCUUGAAACUGGUUGGCUUGAGUCAGCUAGAGGUGCACGGAACUUCGGUGGAGCGGUGAAAUGUGUUGAUAUCGGAAGGAACACCAGAGGCGAAAGCGGUGCACUGGAGCUGGUCUGACGCUGAGGCACGAAAGCCAGG